AUUGAACGCUGGCGGCAGGCCUAACACAUGCAAGUCGAACGGUAACAGGAAACAGCUUGCUGUUUCGCUGACGAGUGGCGGACGGGUGAGUAAUGUCUGGGAAACUGCCUGAUGGAGGGGGAUAACUACUGGAAACGGUAGCUAAUACCGCAUAACGUCGCAAGACUAAAGAGGGGGACCCUCGGGCCUCUUGCCAUCGUAUGUGCCCAGAUGGGAUUAGCUUGUUGGUGGGGUAACGGUUCACCAAGGCGACGAUCCCUAGCUGGUGUGAGAGGAUGACCGGCCACACGGGAGCUGGACCACGGUCCAGAGUCCUACGGGAGGCAGCAGUGGGGAAUAUUGGGCAAUGGGCGGAAGCCUGAUGCAGCCAGGCCGCGUGUAUGAAGAAGGCCUUCGGGUUGUAAAGUACGUUCAGCGGGGAGGAAGGGAGUAAAGUUAAUACCUUUGCUCAUUGACGUUACCCGCAGAAGAAGCACCGGCUAACUCCGUG
RNAcentral lists this ribosomal RNA (490 nucleotides) under uncultured bacterium. Its description in RNAcentral is "partial 16S ribosomal RNA". It matches the Rfam family "Bacterial small subunit ribosomal RNA", at positions 30 to 507 of the family's 1533-position model. The record is from RNAcentral.